CCUACGGGGGGCUGCAGUGGGGAAUAUUGCACAAUGGGCGCAAGCCUGAUGCAGCCAUGCCGCGUGUGUGAAGAAGGCCUUCGGGUUGUAAAGCACUUUCAGCGGGGAGGAAGGCGUUAAGGUUAAUAACCUUGGCGGUUGACGUUACCCGCAGAAGAAGCACCGGCUAACUCCGUGCCAGCAGCCGCGGUAAUACGGAGGGUGCAAGCGUUAAUCGGAAUUACUGGGCGUAAAGCGCACGCAGGCGGUCUGUCAAGUCGGAUGUGAAAUCCCCGGGCUCAACCUGGGAACUGCAUUCGAAACUGGCAGGCUAGAGUCUUGUAGAGGGGGGUAGAAUUCCAGGUGUAGCGGUGAAAUGCGUAGAGAUCUGGAGGAAUACCGGUGGCGAAGGCGGCCCCCUGGACAAAGACUGACGCUCAGGUGCGAAAGCGUGGGGAGCAAACAGGAUUAGAUACCCUAGUAGUC
Molecule: ribosomal RNA, 465 nt
Filed under: uncultured Klebsiella sp.
Lineage: Bacteria; Pseudomonadati; Pseudomonadota; Gammaproteobacteria; Enterobacterales; Enterobacteriaceae
Description: bacterial SSU rRNA
Rfam family: Bacterial small subunit ribosomal RNA
Source: RNAcentral